ACGAACGCUGGCGGCGUGCUUAACACAUGCAAGUCGAACGGAAAGGCCCUGCUUGCCGGGUGCUCGAGUGGCGAACGGGUGAGUAACACGUGGGUGAUCUGCCCCUUACUUUGGGAUAAGCCUGGGAAACUGGGUCUAGUACUGGAUAGGACCAUGCUGUAGGUGGUGUGGUGGAAAGAUUAGUUUCGGUAAGGGAUGAGCUCGCGGCCUAUCAGCUUGUUGGUGGGGUAAUGGCCUACCAAGGCGUCGACGGGUAGCCGGCCUGAGAGGGUGGACGGCCACAUUGGGACUGAGAUACGGCCCAGACUCCUACGGGAGGCAGCAGUGGGGAAUAUUGCACAAUGGGCGCAAGCCUGAUGCAGCGACGCCGCGUGGGGGAUGACGGCCUUCGGGUUGUAAACUCCUUUCAGCCAUGGCGAAGCCCUUGUGGUGACGGUAGUGGUAGAAGAAGCACCGGCUAACUACGU
This 467-nucleotide ribosomal RNA is filed under the name uncultured bacterium. RNAcentral describes it as "partial 16S ribosomal RNA". It matches the Rfam family "Bacterial small subunit ribosomal RNA", at positions 29 to 506 of the family's 1533-position model. The record is from RNAcentral.